GGAGGUGUUGCUCAGUGGUACAGUGCUUGCCUAGCAUGCAUGAGGCCUCGGUUUGAUACCCAGCACCACACA
RNAcentral lists this transfer RNA (72 nucleotides) under Marmota monax (woodchuck). RNAcentral's name for it is "tRNA.Ala". Lineage: Eukaryota; Metazoa; Chordata; Mammalia; Rodentia; Sciuridae. The record is from RNAcentral.